Molecule: non-coding RNA, 292 nt
Organism: Ciona intestinalis (vase tunicate)
Lineage: Eukaryota; Metazoa; Chordata; Ascidiacea; Phlebobranchia; Cionidae
Source: RefSeq, a predicted model, not a curated record
UAAACGCAGUUUCCUAUCAAUUGUUACAAAACUGUUUAAAUAGCAGUGGUUAUCAAGUCUGCUUCACUUUGAAAAUCAAAGAAAAUAAAAUGAACAAGCUACUACUCGUCGCUAUUUUGCUCGGCAUGCUUAUGAUGGUGCAAGUCUCCAAAGCCAUAUGGUGGGGACGGCGUAGAAAUGGAAAAGAGCGUAAUUAUUAUUAUGGCGAUGAGAGGAGCAAAAUGGAACCGGAAGAAGAUUCUAACAUGAACUUUGAAAAUCUUGAUGAUUUACAAGUUUUAGAAAACCCGAU